This is a long non-coding RNA of Patiria miniata (bat star), 269 nucleotides long. RefSeq lists it as uncharacterized. The transcript has 3 exons. NCBI's taxonomy places the organism in Eukaryota, Metazoa, Echinodermata, Asteroidea, Valvatida, Asterinidae. The record is from RefSeq and is a predicted model, not a curated record.
CUGUCUGUAUAUUUUCAGGGUGUGUCUAAUCCCUUGCAUGCGGAUGAAGGAAGCUAUUGACUUUUAAAAUAAGGGUCCUCUGCAGAUGCUCGAUGUAACUGCAUGCAUGUACGUCCAGCAGAACACCAAGUUUAAACGUGGCGAGGGUACGAAGACGAGGAGAGUGCUAACUAUUCAUGAGAAUGCUGCUGAACCAGACAGACUAUCUGCAUCUAAACGACAGUUUACAUAAUAUAUGUGGAGACACCAUCAAGAAAGUCUCGAACUAC